GAUGAAGAACGUAGCGAAAUGCGAUAAGUAGUGUGAAUUGCAGAAUUCAGUGAAUCAUCGAAUCUUUGAACGCACAUUGCGCCCUUUGGUAUUCCUUAGGGCAUGCCUGUUCGAGCGUCAUUUGAAACCUCAAGCUCAGCUUGGUGUUGGGUGUCUGUCCCGCCUCCGCGGGGACUCGCCUCAAAAUCAUUGGCGGCCGGUACGUUGGCUUCGAGCGCAGCAGAAACGCGAACUCGAGGCCCGGCGGAUCGGCGACCAGAAGUCUCUUCUUCACAGUUUGACCUCGGAUCAGGUAGGGAUACCCGCUGAACUUAAGCAUAUCAAUAAGCGGAGGA
RNAcentral lists this unclassified non-coding RNA (335 nucleotides) under soil metagenome. RNAcentral's name for it is "partial contains 5.8S ribosomal RNA, internal transcribed spacer 2, and large subunit ribosomal RNA". The stretch from base 1 to 120 matches the Rfam family "5.8S ribosomal RNA", at positions 35 to 154 of the family's 154-position model. The record is from RNAcentral.